Long non-coding RNA from Equus caballus (horse), 1961 nucleotides. Lineage: Eukaryota; Metazoa; Chordata; Mammalia; Perissodactyla; Equidae. The record is from Ensembl.
UGAGGACUGAGCCCUCAUGAGUGGGAUUAGUGUCUUUAUAAAAGAGACUCCAGAGAGAUCCCUUGACCCCUUCCUCCAUGUUAAGACACAGGAAGAAGAAAGCCCUCUGUGAAGAAGGAACCCACUCUCACUAGACACUGAAUCUGCCAAUGCCUUGAUCUUGGACUUCUUAGCCUCCAGAAUUGCAUGGCUAGUUCAUGUGGUCCAAACCAGCAGUUCCAAGGCGUCUGUGAGUGUCACCUGAAGUGGGGACCAACCUGGAAGGUUUUCCCUGGACAGUGAGGACUCAUCCUACGGAUUGGAAGCUGAAGUAGACCAGAAGCCAUCUAACAUUUCUUCCAAUCCUGGAAUUCUAUGAUGCUAUGAAAAUCAAGUUAUUGUAAGAGGUUCUGAUAUUAGGGGCUCCAUGAGUAUUCUUGAAUGGAUGAAAUCAGUAGACAUUAUUUGCAGCAUCUACGCUAUCUUUAGAAUUACUUUCAUGUCUGACUUUUUUGCAAGUCUGAUAACAUCCCUCCUGUGGAAACAACGCUUCUGAGACUUUCCAUGGUCUUUGGAAUUUACUGGGGUUUGUAAGACCCGCCAUGAUCUGCUCCCAACUCCUCUUCAGCCUUCUCUGUGGUUCAGACGAGAGGAACCACCAGCCUUCCCUAGACAGGCCGCAAGCUCUUCAGUCUCCUUUUCUGGUCGAGCUGACCUUACUUGAAAGGCAAUGCUGUGCUGAGUGGAAACAUAUUCAGACAGAACCUUGAUGGUACUGAAAUAAACCCUGGUGGGGUUCAGGCAGGGUGAUGUGUCGCUCCAACAGAAGUCCUCAAGCUUAACUCGCCUCCUUAGCCCUCUGGAACACGUAAACAACACCCCAAGUGUACUGAAGUCAGACCACCUUGCCAGAACUAAGAAAACUUCUGCAGACUCAUCAGCUAAGUAAUCAAUCAAUUUUCCUUGAUUAUUUCAAUCCUGGGCCCCAUCUCUUCUUUUUAUACAUGUCUGCCAUUAAUCUUGGGCAUUAUUUUCCUAAAUAAGCAAGCUUUCUUCCCAUGUCUAAUCUCUUUGUUGGUUCUCUUAGUAUAACAGUUCCUAAGACACAUAGUAUGGUCUAUCCAUAUUUAAAAAAGCAUGGCUGAUACCAAAGCUUGUUUAUGUCCAUGAGACUAGUCAAUAGUGACAUAAGUGUAUAGAAAAACAAAUCUUGCUCAUUUUUGAACCUUGGAGAAAAAUUAUACCCUAAAAAACAUGUAUCCACUGUUUUUUUUCUUUUUUGCAUGGCCUUCUGGGAGGAGCGUCUACUUCACUCAGAGGAUUCGUGCACAGGCCCAUGCUCCUUGAUGGAGAAAGCAAACUCUGGAGCCUGGUGGGAGAGGGAAAGAGGCCCUGAGCGCCAGGGGAGGGAAAAGAGAGGCGGAAGGGAAAAGAAAGCCUGCAAUGAAGUCAUGAAAAUCUCCAUUUAUAGAGAUGCUCUACUUGAGUGUUUUGUUCAACAUCAUCUGUGAGAAGGAAUAUGAGUUUUUCCUCAAGGCCCUCUCUCACGUCAGAAGAUACACUAAAGCAGUUCCCUUAGUGAAUGAUUUAUCUGGAUUCAUCUGAUAGGGACCGAGUCAUUCAAAAGAAACUAUGACAGUGGAAGAGAGUGAGCUUAAAAUUUCAUCAUAAAGCCCUGAUCAUCCCACAGAGACACACAGAAAAGACACAUGGACAAAAGAAGAGGCUGUGUGAACACAGAGGCAGAGACUGGAGCGAUGCAGCCCUAAGCCGGACACACAGAGGAGGAGGCCAUGUGAUGGGAGUGAGGCAGAGACAGGAGUGAUGUGGUCACAAGCCAAGAAAUACUUGGAGCUACCAGAGCUGGAUGAGCCAAGGAACUGAAUCUCCCCUGUGGUCUUCAGAGGAAACUUGUCUCUCCCGACUCUUGAUUUUGGACUUCUGGCCUCCAGAAGGUGACAGAAUAAAUUUGUGUUGUUUUA